GGCUGGGCCAAGAGUCCAGCUGCUGCUGGCUGGAGAUUCAGUGACUUAUUUGUUGUGACUCCCGGCCUGGCAGUGUCCGGACUCGUAGCCCCGCUGUCCGCACCGGGACCGCUAGCCCUAGCCCCGAGCCUAGGUCACAGCCACAACCCCAUCCCGUCGGUUAUCCUUUGAGUACAGGUCCUUUCCCCGCACACCUUGCGCUCCCUAACAUGCCCAACCCCAGCAGCACCUCCUCUCCCUACCCCCUCCCUGAGGAAAUUAGGAACCUGUUGGCAGCAGACACAUUGAGAGGGGAAAAUUUAUCCAAGAAAGCAAAGGAAAAGAGAGAAUCCCUUAUUAAGAAGAUAAAAGAUGUAAAGUAUACCUAUCUUCACGAAUUUCAAGACAAAGGUGAUGCAGAAGAGGGGGAAGAAUAUGAUGACCCUUUUGCUGGGCCUCCAGACUCUAUUUCCCUAGCCUGAGAACGAUAUGACAAAGAUGACGAAGCCCCCUCUGAUGUGCUGAGAAUUCAACUCAGGGCCUCCAGCACAUGAAGUAGGUCCUCUGCCUAUCACCAUCUCUUUCCAAUUUGUAUUCCAUACUACUCUGUUACCUCCCAGUCCUCAUCUUCUUCUACUCUUUUGGUCACUGAAUUAGAAAAAUAACCAAGGUAUGUGUACUUUAGCUAUGUUCAAAUAUUUUAUUUGUUGUAAUAAUACUUAAAAGUGGAGAAAUUUAGGAUAUAUUCCCUGACUACUGCUUGGAGUGUACUUUUGUGUUAGUACCUACUAGGUCAUACAUGUGUUUAGCCAGCAGAAUUGGAAGUACGGUUGAUAUUCUCCUAAGAUGAGAGGCUUGGCAAAUAUUUGUGCCUACAUUUAAGACCAAAAAACCUGUAUGUGAAAAUGGGCUAAAAGAUUUGGAUUAGAGGCAGGCUAAAUUUUCAGCAGAAAAUAAUUCUAGUUCUAUCCUAACAAAAAGACAAAUGGAUUGUUGAGGACUAAGUCUCUUAAAUUUACUACUUUGGCUCAUCAGUUGUCCUACUUAACAAAAGAGAUAAUGGGUAAAGUAACCAUCUUAUAUAAGGAAUGUAGGGCAUACAAGAAAAUAUUUAUCAGAUUAAGAAGGCAGAGAGAAGGGUUUGUCAUGGAAGAGGAGCUGGAAGUAGAGAAGAAAGAGAAAAGAUAGGACUUAGUGUACAUCUGGUGAGUACAGGCUUGAGAAGGCCUCAGGGGGAAAUUCAUUGAUCAAGGAUAAGUCCUGGCACAUAGGACAUGACCAGUAUUAGCUCUUGGCUAUUAUAGUUACAUGUAAUAUAUAAUGAUUGGCUAUUCUGUGGGUAGAGACAAGGGAGAGUAAGUACCUAGAGGAAAAAUGGAGGAAAACCAAUGGUAGAUUGUGUCUGGGCUGAAUCCUGAUUCUUAGAUUCUUUUCUCAAGGAAGUGAUAGCAUCUUUAAAGAAAAUGGGAAAGUGGAUAAGAAAGAUCAAGGCUGUUGAACUUGAAGGAGUGUUGAGAAAAUUAGUCAAAGCUGUUUGAGAGGGAGCCUGAGAUAUGGAAUAGAGAUAUGGAGAAUCACUGAUUUAUUUGCCUAAACAUGUUGAAUGUCAUGAAAAAGAUAAGACUUGCCAGAGAAUGUAGAAGGAGAUGGAUUAGGAUGUUCAGAGUGGAGACAUCUGCCCCAACUUUCCUCACAGGUAAAUCAGGAGAAUUGUCACUUUUGUUUCUAAACAUAUGAUCCAAAGUUACAGAAUUGUAGAAGCCAUUAAUUACUUUCACUUAGUAUGAUUAUAUAGCCACAGGAUACACUUUAUCUUGGUAGUUUCUUUGGCAUUCAUUUGAAUGCCGGUAUGAUCAGCCUUUUCCUUUCUCAUUGUUUUUUAUUGUCUAAUUAUUUUCUUCUUUGUAAUUCAGGCAUCAUGUUAUGUUACUAUGCCUUGUCCUAGCAGCUUAAAUAAUAAUAAGCGGUAUUCAAGGGAAACCAAAUAUAAUUCUAGUAUCUGCAUGUAAGGACUUUAAAGAAGAUAAAAUUUAUAUUUCAUCAGCUCAAGGGUAACUUGUACAGUUGUGGUUAAGUGCAUAGAUAACUAUAUCAUAAAUACCUUGGUUUAAUCCUGGUUUGACAUUGUGACUUUGGAAAAAUUAUUUUCUCUCUAAGCCUUAGUUUCUUAAUUUAUAAAAAUAGGAACAAGUAUAAUAUCUCAUAAGAUUGUAGUAAAGAUAAGGAAGGUCCUGGCACAUAGGAUAUACCCAAUAUUAGCUCUUGCCUAUUAUGAUGUCACAAGAUAUUUGAACAUAGGUAAUUUAAGUUAUGUUGAACAAUAUUGCAUUUAAUCAUAUCAUAGCUACUUACAUAUUACACUGUAUACUGUAAGUAGGUAAAAGAUGAGUUGAUAACACUAGGAUUCUUUUUUGUAAUUGAAUAUUCAGUUUUUUACUGUAACCUAACUUUCAUGUGGUGAUUCAUAUGUGUCAUGGCCUAUGUUAAAUUUCAGUGAUCUUUUUAUUUGGAUGAGUUGUAUUUAUCUUCCUGUUUCUGUCAGACGAUAGGAAAGUAAUAAAAUAAUAACAAGUGAAUUUUAUCAAAGUGAACUUGAGAGCCAUUAACUGGAUAAUUUGUUAGAAAAGUGAUAAUGAGAUAAAAAUGUGAAUUAUCCUGAAAUUCAGAAUGGCUGCAUUUUUUGGUUGUCUAAUACUGAUGUCUUCAAAGUUUUCCUUUGUAUGGUAAAAAUGAAUGAGAGAUAAGCAUUUUUCUUUACAUGGACAAUAUUUGGGUUUUAUAUAGUAAUAGAUGCUUUAUUUUAAAAUUGUUCCCUGAUAUAUCUUUUCUUGCUUUGUUUUGCUAAUCUUAAACUUUAUUAAUAGGGUGUCUUAUUGUCACAAACUAUUUCUUCUCUAUUGACAUUAUUUAAAUCCUCUACUCUUUUUAUUUUAUCUAAUUUUUAUUUUAAAAUAUAUUUUUAAAAUAUAUUUUAAUGUAUUUUUAUGGUUAGAAACCUAUGGACCUGUAUGAUAAUUCUGUAAAUUAAUUAUAUUCCUCUGAGAUGAUAAAAGCAUUGUUAGCUUAUUAUUUAGUAUAGAAAUAUGAAGGUUGAACAGCUAUUUAGUGCAAAAUUAUGGUGGAGGAAUGUGUCCUAAGGAGUUCAAACACUGAUGUUAAUUUUGCAUUUUAUAAGCUUUCAGUCAAGCUAUUUGAACACAUACACAAUUUUUGUUAGAUAAGGAAAGAUGACUUAGGUGUGGUUUGGGUAAAGUACAUCUUCUUAGAUUAAUUUUUCUAUCGAUGUGGCUAUCAGUGCCCACAAUAGAGAUUUAGAUACAGCUUCAGCAACUCAGGUUAGCAGGGUGUUCCCUAUCCUCUGUAACAUGCUAGAAAAUAUAGCAGAAAGGUUUCAGUUAACGUUAUCAAAUUACUGUGUACCUGAGAUUUGACUAAUAAAAUUUCUAGAAGCUUUAUAAAUUCAGUCCUUGAUCUUAUACUUAAAAACUAAUUCAGCAGUAAACUUUUUUGCCAUAUCAAGUAUAUUUGUUGAAAUCUAAUUGAUAUGUCACUAAUCGGUGUUUUAGACAAACUCCAAAGGCCAUCCAUCAAUGUAAUUGCUAAUAUAUUAAGUGCAUCUGUACACAUUUACAUUGUAAAAUUAUAUAUUCUUAGGAUUUAAAAAUCAACAAUACAAAUUUUUCCUUAAUAUCUUUAUAUUUAAAUUUUUUUAUUCUAGUGUCUGACCUACUAAAGCUAGAAUAAUGCAGAACAGCUGUUUUUAUAAGUGAUAAUAUGCCAAAGAAAGUAUAUCAUAAGUGAUAAUAUGCCAAAGAAAGGAAGGUGGUAAUAAAAGAAAAAUAAUUUUCCUCAGCAUAAGCUUUGGCGAUUACUGCUAAGUGCAUAGCCGUCUUACAUUUUUAAAGCAUGACUAACGCAGAUACUGAAUUUCUCACAAUUGUGCAAAUUAACCAUGUAUGCUAUCUUUACCAUAUGAUUUGACUUUGAACAUGUCUUGAGAUGUUGCUGUUUCCUAAACAUUCCUUAGAUGGCACAAAAUGAAAAAUGUUUUUUUUUUUUCUGAACAAAAACAUGAACAAAGAAUUUUUUAUAAAGUAUGCAAGUCAGUUAUUUAAUUAUGAAACCAUCAUAUGCAACCAUUAUCUGGUCAUAAAUUUCCUUUUGGAAAAUAUACAGUUUUAACAGAUGCUGUUAUUGACUACAAAGCAAAAGGAAAAACAGAAAAAAAAAGAUACAUUCAUUUUCCCCCUCCACAACAGUUACACAAAAAUGCUUUAGUAUUUAUUGCAUGUAAAUCAUAUGCAGUUGAAUCAAUUUUCAAUGUACUUUGCCAGGUCUAUGACGAAAAACUGAGAUUAUAUUUUACUUUUUACUACACAUUAUUUUAUCAUUGCCAACUAAUGUUGGGACUAUUUAAACAGUGAAAAAUUCUCUGGCAUGGUAUUUAGAAUUUGUUAUUAGGGUAUCAUAGGAAGGAUGUACUGAGUUGGUGGUAAUUGAUUUAUCCUCAUCAUACUGAACCUCCCACUCUUCUUCCACUUUGUCCUCCCUUGGGCAAUAAUCACAGGGUUGAGCUGCCAAUCUGUAGACUUAAUUUUUUCCAGCAGUACCAUCUGGCUCCUUGGCACCAGAAGUUAUAUUGGUUCUUUGUGGUUGCUACUGAAUUUGUCAUAUUGUUAGACAGCUUAUAGGAUGUUCUUGCUAUUUGAUCCUAAUUUUCUUUCAAGUAAUUAUUGAUUAUUAUUUAGAGAAUCUUCCUGUGCUAUUUCUGAGAGCAUGGCAUGAUUUUAUUGUGAAAACAAACAAAAAAUAGAAUGUACCUAAACAAGUCGUAUGUCAGCCUGGAGCUUCUUUUCCCUGUAUUGUUUUCUAUUGAGUUCUCCUUUUCAAGAGAGAUUAAUUUAAGUUAAUCAUGAAGGUUUUCUGUCUCAUUUUAAUCCUGUAUACCUUUUACAAAAUCAUUCAAAUGUUCAUUUAAAAUCCUGUUAUGAGUGACAUCAUGUCCCAAUUGUGGCAAAUUUAUAAAUCUCUAUCAAUGGCCAGAUAACCUUCUAACAUCCAGCAGUAUUUUAUCCAUGUUUAAAGAUGGCUGCCUGUGUGAAUCUUGUAUUUUGUAGAUGAGGUGAUUUUACUGUCAUGUCUAAUAACAAUCAUAAACAGUUUAAAAGUAGAAUUGUGAAAAGUUCAUCUGAGUUUUAGUCAUUAAAAAGAAUUUCCAAACAUAUAUUUCUACAAACUUAAGUAGUUUUUCCAUCUUACAUUGUAAACUAGACGUUUUUGAUGAAGGCAAAAAUUUAUUUGCUCAUUUGUUUCUAAGAAAAGAUCAUAAACAAAAAUAAUUUCUUAAGCUCUUAAAGAAUCUGCAUAGAAAGCAGAUCACUUUGAAAAAUAUUUUUUUUUUUUUUUUUUGUAUUUGAUUGCAUUUUUAUUUAGUGGAACAAGAUAGACAUAUCUUUAAGAAAGUUUUUAGAGGCAUUCAUUCAUAUAUAUGAAAGUGUUUUCUCCUGAUUUUAACAUCUCAAUUAGAUUCUAUGUUAUCUGUUAGUUUAUAAUAAAGACAGGAUACUGAUAUGUUAAAAAUAUUUAUUUUGAAUUCUUUUUGUGGCUGGCAUAAUGAUAUUUGAAGUUCUUAAACAGAGAUUUAGCUGGGAUUAUUUUAGUACUACUGUAUUAGAAGUAGUAUUUUAAUAUUACUCUAUUAGAAGCCCACUAACCAUAAACUGGACUUUUCAGAGUAUUUUCAGAAUGUUAGAUAAAAUAUACAGUUAAAUUACUGUCAUUUGGUUAUGAUGUGAUGUUAAAAUCCAGUUGUUUAUAAUUUUUAGGUUUUAAGUAUGUAAAGGAAAUGAGCAAUAAAUGUCACUGUAAGAAGAGCUAAAUCAGAUGUCAGUGAGAUGAUUCAUGUGCUAACUGAAAUAGUUAGCAUGCAUUUUAUUCCACUGUCUAGCAGGAGGAGGUGGGCUAUAGAAAAAUGAAUUCUUCACUAAAUAAUUCACAACAAUUAUAUCAAAUUUUAAUAACUUGAACUAAGAAGGCAUACAUAUGAUUCAUGUUCUCACAAUCACCUACAUUAGAGAUUAAUUGUGCUUUCUUUAAGCAAAAAUGCACUGUUACAAAUGUUUUUAAUUGGCAAAUCAUGAUUAGUUUCAUAUUUAUAGAGUAGCAUCAUAUGAUCAGUUUUUAGAUAUAACCUAAGGUGAAGCUUAAAUAUCACAGCUAAUCUGUUGUCUUAAAUGCCAUCUCAUUAGAAUUUGCCCCUAAUAUCAAAAAAUGCCCUGAAUUGUUUGUUGGCUUUAUCUUAACUCAAAUAUGUAAAGGGGACAGUAGAGCAUUUUUCUUUGGAAUCACAGAGAGUUCAGUGACCUUUCUGUGGCAAAUUAUGUAGAAAGAAAAUAUUUAUAUUCAUUUAAAAUAACCUCCGUGAAGAAAUAGUCUCAUUACCCUGUUUGAUCAAUUUCUUGUAGCCUGAGCUGUAGCAUGCUGCUAUUGCCAUUGGUUGAUGGAAUACACUGAGUAGUGGCUAAUGGUGAUGGUGCUCAUCAGGAAGGGUUCAGCCAGCGGUCAGCAACAAAUAAUUCAAGACUGUUUCUAAGUUUGUGGCUGGUGGAAUUUGCUUCUUGCCCCAAGCCAGCGGCAUUGCUGAGCUGGGCUAUUUGAUUAGAAGAGAGGCAUAUUUGCUUCUUAGCAACUGCACAUUUGCACAACCCAUAGUCCUCUACUGCCUCCAAAGGUUUUCCUUUUGUGAUAGUAGAAUAAUACUUUAUUGUUGAUUGACAGACAAAAGAGGUUCUAAUACAAGGCAAGCUUAUAACCAUUUUUGUAGUUGUUGGCUUUUAAAUAUUUCAGCUACAUUUACCAUUUUUUGAAAAAGUAGAGACCAAACAUAUGUAUAGUGUAAAUAGGUAUUGAAAUCCCAUGUGUUAGAAUUUCAAUAUGCAUAUUAGCAAGGAGGUUUGCAUCGCAUGAAUUGAAUACUUUUUUUGCAUAGCAGGUUCAAUGGUAGAAAAUAAAGUCUGACCCUUGUCGAUACUCUGGGUAUAUGCACCUUCCAACUAGAAUUAAUGCUAGAUAAAAUUUAACUAAUGUUUUAAAGAAAAACUAAUGUUAGCAGAGUUGUUAUAGAUCUUUUUUCACACUUAAGAACUGGUUUUUAGAAAUCAAAUUUUGAAUUGUGAUUGCAUUGUGGGCACAGAAUUUGGAACAUAGUUCUUACAGGAAUGAGUCUUCAGAAGAAAAUAUGUGUCUUUAAUAGAAGACAAAGGUAUUUAUAACCCAGCAGUUAAGAAGCAAGUGAGACAAGAUAAAUUUGGGAAGGACAGUCUUGAGUUUUAUGAUCCUGGGAAACCAGGACUGGAAAAAAAGUAGUUUUUUUUUUUUUUUAACAUAGUUUUAUGGCUUUUCUCAUUGAAACUAUAUGGUUAGGGCUUGAAUCUCAAGAUUUUUAAGGCAGAUGAUUUAAAAAGUAGUGUGACUAUAGAUGAUGCUAAUUUUACUCUUGUUAUUUUAUGAUGAUUGGUUUUUAGAAAAAUAAAAACAUAUAGUACCAUAAAGAAAUAGUGAAAAACUAUUUUGAGCCAAUAUAUUUUGAUAUACAUGAUCUAAAUCCAUUGUUUUGUAUAAAUUGUUGACAUCACUCGCAGUAAAAUGAAAUUGCAUAUGUAAGAUGAAUUAAGGUUAAUUUAAAAAUAUUCUUCUAUGAAGUUGUAUUUUGAACAUAGUAAUUUUUUUCCUAUUUAAAAGAUGUUUGUUCAAUUUUUGUCUCCUAAGAUUUAUGACAGAUGAAAGAAUUUUCAUAAUUUAAAAUAAACAACCAAAAAAGUG
Molecule: RNA transcript, 7800 nt
Organism: Marmota monax (woodchuck)
Lineage: Eukaryota; Metazoa; Chordata; Mammalia; Rodentia; Sciuridae
Gene name: src kinase-associated phosphoprotein 2-like
Exons: 6
Source: RefSeq, a predicted model, not a curated record